GACGAACGCUGGCGGCGUGCUUAACACAUGCAAGUCGAGCGAUGAAGCUCCUUCGGGAGUGGAUUAGCGGCGGACGGGUGAGUAACACGUGGGUAACCUGCCUCAUAGAGGGGAAUAGCCUUUCGAAAGGAAGAUUAAUACCGCAUAAGAUUGUAGCUUCGCAUGAAGCAGCAAUUAAAGGAGUAAUCCGCUAUGAGAUGGACCCGCGUCGCAUUAGCUAGUUGGUGAGGUAACGGCUCACCAAGGCGACGAUGCGUAGCCGACCUGAGAGGGGGAUCGGCGACAUUGGGACUGAGACACGGCCCGGACUCCUACGGGAGGCAGCAGUGGGGAAUAUUGCACCAUGGGGGAAACCCUGAUGCAGCAACGCCGCGUGAGUGAUGACGGUCUUCGGAUUGUAAAGCUCUGUCUUCAGGGACGAUAAUGACGGUACCUGAGGAGGAAGCCACGGCUAACUACGUGCCAGCAGCCGCCGUAA
RNAcentral lists this ribosomal RNA (478 nucleotides) under uncultured bacterium. Its description in RNAcentral is "partial 16S ribosomal RNA". It matches the Rfam family "Bacterial small subunit ribosomal RNA", at positions 28 to 523 of the family's 1533-position model. The record is from RNAcentral.